GCCAGACUCCUACGGGAGGCAGCAGUGGGGGAUAUUGCACAAUGGGGGGAACCCUGAUGCAGCGACGCCGCGUGGGUGAAGGAGCGUUUCGGCGCGUAAAGCCCUCUCGGCAGGGAAGAAGGAGGACGGUACCUGACUAAGAAGCCCCGGCUAACUACGUGCCAGCAGCCGCGGUAAUACGUAGGGGGCAAGCGUUAUCCGGAUUUACUGGGUGUAAAGGGGGCGCAGACGGCAGCGCAAGCCAGGAGUGAAAGCCCGGGGCCCAACCCCGGGACUGCUCUUGGAACUGCGCGGCUGGAGUGCAGGAGGGGCAGGCGGAAUUCCUGGUGUAGCGGUGAAAUGCGUAGAUAUCAGGAGGAACACCGGUGGCGAAGGCGGCCUGCUGGACUGCGACUGACGUUGAGGCCCGAAAGCGUGGGGAGCAAACAGGAUUAGAUACCCUAGUAAC
Molecule: ribosomal RNA, 448 nt
Filed under: uncultured bacterium
Lineage: Bacteria
Description: partial 16S ribosomal RNA
Rfam family: Bacterial small subunit ribosomal RNA
Source: RNAcentral